Notothenia coriiceps (black rockcod) is the source of this 99-nucleotide long non-coding RNA. RefSeq lists it as uncharacterized. Lineage: Eukaryota; Metazoa; Chordata; Actinopteri; Perciformes; Nototheniidae. The record is from RefSeq and is a predicted model, not a curated record. The transcript is spliced from 3 exons.
GGCCUUUUGACAAAUAUGCGGCCUGUUUAAAGAAUCUGCGCAUUUUGCCUGAUUAUGCGGAGAAUUCUGCGAUGGCAGAAUCGUGUUUUUCAGAGAGGG